GACGAACGCUGGCGGCGUGCUUAACACAUGCAAGUCGAACGGAAAGGCCCUGCUUUUGUGGGGUGCUCGAGUGGCGAACGGGUGAGUAACACGUGAGUAACCUGCCCUUGACUUUGGGAUAACUUCAGGAAACUGGGGCUAAUACCGGAUAGGAGCUCCUGCUGCAAGGUGGGGGUUGGAAAGUUUCGGCGGUUGGGGAUGGACUCGCGGCUUAUCAGCUUGUUGGUGGGGUAGUGGCUUACCAAGGCUUUGACGGGUAGCCGGCCUGAGAGGGUGACCGGCGACAUUGGGACUGAGAUACGGCCCAGACUCCUACGGGAGGCAGCAGUGGGGAAUAUUGCACAAUGGGCGGAAGCCUGAUGCAGCAACGCCGCGUGCGGGAUGACGGCCUUCGGGUUGUAAACCGCUUUCGCCUGUGACGAAGCGUGAGUGACGGUAAUGGGUAAAGAAGCACCGGCUAACUACGUG
Molecule: ribosomal RNA, 468 nt
Filed under: uncultured bacterium
Lineage: Bacteria
Description: partial 16S ribosomal RNA
Rfam family: Bacterial small subunit ribosomal RNA
Source: RNAcentral